RNAcentral lists this ribosomal RNA (276 nucleotides) under uncultured prokaryote. RNAcentral describes it as "partial 16S ribosomal RNA". It matches the Rfam family "Bacterial small subunit ribosomal RNA", at positions 524 to 800 of the family's 1533-position model. The record is from RNAcentral.
UACGUAGGGGGCUAGCGUUAUCCGGAAUUACUGGGCGUAAAGGGUGCGUAGGUGGUUUCUUAAGUCAGAGGUGAAAGGCUACGGCUCAACCGUAGUAAGCCUUUGAAACUGGGAAACUUGAGUGCAGGAGAGGAGAGUGGAAUUCCUAGUGUAGCGGUGAAAUGCGUAGAUAUUAGGAGGAACACCAGUUGCGAAGGCGGCUCUCUGGACUGUAACUGACACUGAGGCACGAAAGCGUGGGGAGCAAACAGGAUUAGAUACCAGCGUAGUCCCUGA